AGUCGAGGGGUAACAUUGUAGCUUGCUACAGAUGACGACCGGCGCACGGGUGAGUAACGCGUAUGCAACCUGCCUUUGACAGGGGGAUAGCCCGGAGAAAUCCGGAUUAACAUCCCAUGGUAUUUACGAAUCGCAUGGUUUGUAAAUUAAAGAUUUUAUCGGUCAAAGAUGGGCAUGCGUGACAUUAGCUAGUUGGUAAGGUAACGGCUUACCAAGGCUGCGAUGUCUAGGGGUUCUGAGAGGAUGAUCCCCCACACUGGUACUGAGACACGGACCAGACUCCUACGGGAGGCAGCAGUGAGGAAUAUUGGUCAAUGGGCGCAAGCCUGAACCAGCCAUCCCGCGUGAAGGAAGACUGCCCUAUGGGUUGUAAACUUCUUUUCUGCACCAAGAAUGGUUACUACGUGUAGUGAUUUGACGGUAGUGCA
RNAcentral lists this ribosomal RNA (428 nucleotides) under uncultured Sphingobacteriia bacterium. Its description in RNAcentral is "bacterial SSU rRNA". It matches the Rfam family "Bacterial small subunit ribosomal RNA", at positions 60 to 482 of the family's 1533-position model. Lineage: Bacteria; Pseudomonadati; Bacteroidota; Sphingobacteriia. The record is from RNAcentral.